Molecule: non-coding RNA, 84 nt
Organism: Mytilinidion resinicola
Lineage: Eukaryota; Fungi; Ascomycota; Dothideomycetes; Mytilinidiales; Mytilinidiaceae
Source: the annotation of a RefSeq genome assembly
GGUCGAUUAGCUCAGUUGGUUAGAGCGUGGUGCUAAUAUCCUAUGUUAACACCAAGGUCGCGGGUUCGACCCCCGUAUUGACCA